UGAGCAAUCUGCCCUUCUCAUCGGAAUAAGCGUUGGAAACGACGUUUAAUGCCGAAUACGACCUCCUUUCACAUGAUCGGAGGUGGAAAGCUCCGGCGGAGAAGGAUGAGCUCGCGGCCUAUCAGCUAGUUGGUGUGGGUAACGGCCCACCAAGGCGACGACGGGUAGCCGGCCUGAGAGGGUGACCGGCCACACUGGGACUGAGACACGGCCCAGACUCCUACGGGAGCAGCAGG
Molecule: ribosomal RNA, 236 nt
Filed under: uncultured bacterium
Lineage: Bacteria
Description: partial 16S ribosomal RNA
Rfam family: Bacterial small subunit ribosomal RNA
Source: RNAcentral